This 465-nucleotide ribosomal RNA is filed under the name uncultured bacterium. RNAcentral describes it as "bacterial SSU rRNA". It matches the Rfam family "Bacterial small subunit ribosomal RNA", at positions 329 to 792 of the family's 1533-position model. The record is from RNAcentral.
CUCCAGACUCCUACGGGAGGCAGCAGUGAGGAAUAUUGGUCAAUGGGCGGGAGCCUGAACCAGCCAAGCCGCGUGAGGGAAGAAGGUACAGCGUAUCGUAAACCUCUUUUGUCAGGGAACAAAGGCGGGGACUAGUCCCCGGAUGAGGGUACCUGAAGAAAAAGCAUCGGCUAACUCCGUGCCAGCAGCCGCGGUAAUACGGAGGAUGCGAGCGUUAUCCGGAUUUAUUGGGUUUAAAGGGUGCGCAGGCGGCCUGUUAAGACAGCGGUAAAGCCCGGGGCCUCACCCCCGGCGAGCCGUUGAAACUGCAUCCCUUGAGUGCGCGAGAAGUAUGCGGAAUGCGUGGUGUAGCGGUGAAAUGCAUAGAUAUCACGCAGAACUCCGAUUGCGAAGGCAGCAUACCGGCGCGCAACUGACGCUCAUGCACGAAAACGUGGGUAUCGAACAGGAUUAGAUACCCCAGUA